UGUCAGAGCCUUUGGUUAUGACAUCUGUCACCCCCACUGAUGGCCAGGGUUGAUUAGACUGGUUGGCUAGGUGAAUGCCAGUUUCUCCUCACUGCUCCAUGUGUGUUCCUCCAGAAGCUGUGCACUCAGUUGAAGAGUCCUUCCCUGAGAGAGGAGGACCGAUCUUCAGUCAAGGCUAGACCAGUAACUGCAAUCUGCAAAAGCCUCUACACAAGCUCUAAGGUCUGAAUGGACAGGAGCUUGUGUGAAACAAGCCCUGAAGAAUCACCAAACUGAAUGUU
RNAcentral lists this small nuclear RNA (281 nucleotides) under Nannospalax galili (Upper Galilee mountains blind mole rat). RNAcentral's name for it is "7SK RNA (ENSNGAG00000002344.1)". It matches the Rfam family "7SK RNA". Rfam says of the family: 7SK was discovered as an abundant small nuclear RNA in the mid-70s but a possible function has only recently been suggested. Lineage: Eukaryota; Metazoa; Chordata; Mammalia; Rodentia; Spalacidae. The record is from RNAcentral.